UUUGUGAUGAUGCUACCAAUUUACUAAACACUAAAAUAUUGGGUUGUGAUUUUAAAAUCUAGCAAAUUAAUUUUAUUUAUUGCUUCUUUUCCAUACAGAUGUAUCAUAUCUAUUCUCUUUCAAAAAACUUAUAUAAGCAGCACUGGAGGAUUAUAGGUAACUUAUACUAAGAACUUUGCAUCACAAUUCGGAUCAAUUUGCACCAACUAAAAAGGUAUUACAGAUUGAAGAUAGAAGCCAGGCUGUGAAACAAAAGGUGACAUUCUAUUCUUGAUGUAAUUUCCAAAUUAUAACCCAUAAUCAAGCAAAAUAUUACAACAAACAUGACAUAUAUGUUGCUUGCAUUCAACAUCUUCACGACCUUCAAACGCAUACAUCUCCUCCGGGUGCUUCUGCCAUCACGGCACUUUCUCUGGACCUGCACAAGGCAUCCAUCCCCUCUUCAGCACCACCUUCGCCACUAGAAUGGUUCUCCAACAGGGGAGGGUGAGCUGCACCAAUACGCGCAGGGGAGGGCAAGCACCUGCCGAGAGCUGCGCUAUCGCUCGCAGGCGUGGGGGGAAACACAUGGUGAGCUCGCGUAGGCAUCCGUGAGGCGAGGACGAACUGCGCUGACGCAUGCAGAAGUGCACAAGCACGGGCGACGAGCCGCGGUGGGCAUCAGCAGGGCGUGUGUGAACACAGGCGCGGGAGCUACGAUUGCUCGCACGGGCAUGGGCAAGCUAUGGCGGAGCGCUGCGGUGGCUUGCGCAGGGAGCAGUGAGGUACAGCGAGGAGCCACCAGUGACGACAAGAAUGAGCUAGCUUGAGAAAUCAUAUCCAAC
Molecule: long non-coding RNA, 824 nt
Filed under: Triticum aestivum (bread wheat)
Lineage: Eukaryota; Viridiplantae; Streptophyta; Magnoliopsida; Poales; Poaceae
Description: long non-coding RNA (TAES_LNC007679)
Source: RNAcentral